GACGAACUGUGCGAACGUUAUUCGGAAUUACUGGGCGUAAAGGGCGCGUAGGCGGUCCUGUCAGUCCCUUGUGAAAUCCCCCGGCUCAACUGGGGAACUGCAAGGGAUACAGCAGGGCUUGAGUUCGGGAGAGGGAAGCGGAAUUCCGGGUGUAGCGGUGAAAUGCGUAGAUAUCCGGAGGAACACCGGUGGCGAAGGCGGCUUCCUGGACCGAUACUGACGCUGAGGCGCGAAAGCUAGGGGAGCAAACGGG
This 253-nucleotide ribosomal RNA is filed under the name uncultured bacterium. Its description in RNAcentral is "partial 16S ribosomal RNA". It matches the Rfam family "Bacterial small subunit ribosomal RNA", at positions 524 to 776 of the family's 1533-position model. The record is from RNAcentral.